CGGGUGAGUAAUGUAUCGGAACGUGCCCAGUAGCGGGGGAUAACUACGCGAAAGCGUAGCUAAUACCGCAUACUAUUGGAGCGGCCGAUAUCGGAUUAGCUAGUUGGUGGGGUAACGGCUCACCAAGGCGACGAUCCGUAGCUGGUUUGAGAGGACGACCAGCCACACUGGGACUGAGACACGGCCCAGACUCCUACGGGAGGCAGCAGUGGGGAAUUUUGGACAAUGGGGGAAACCCUGAUCCAGCCAUCCCGCGUGUGCGAUGAAGGCCUUCGGGUUGUAAAGCACUUUUGGCAGGAAAGCGGUACCUGCAGAAUAAGCACCGGCUAACUACGUGCCAGCAGCCGCGGUAAUACGUAGGGUGCAAGCGUUAAUCGGAAUUACUGGGCGUAAGGCGUGCGCAGGCGGUUCGGAAAGAAAGAUGUGAAAUCCCAGAGCUUAACUUUGGAACUGCAUUUUUAACUACCGGGCUAGAGUGUGUCAGAGGGAGGUGGAAUUCCGCGUGUAGCAGUGAAAUGCGUAGAUAUGCGGAGGAACACCGAUGGCGAA
RNAcentral lists this ribosomal RNA (549 nucleotides) under uncultured bacterium. RNAcentral describes it as "bacterial SSU rRNA". It matches the Rfam family "Bacterial small subunit ribosomal RNA", at positions 103 to 719 of the family's 1533-position model. The record is from RNAcentral.